GUCAAAAGACAGGUAUUCAUAUUCAAGGCGUUCAGAUUUUCAACUGAUUUCAAAGAUAAAACACCAACAGGGGGCGAAAGAGUGUAUGCAUUGUGGAACCCAUCAUUAGCUUGUGUUUCCCUGGGGAACAUAUAUACUGGUGCACCUUUGUGAUAGCAGGUGGUGAAAUGUUUGGUGGAAAAGCAUUUCACUGGAAGUCCUUCACGGAAGAGGAGACUCUCAUCCAUACACAUUCAGCUCAUUUAGGAUUCUGGACACUCAACCGUCUGAGGACAGAGCCCAGUUUGAGAUCCUCAAGUCCCAGAUGUACGCCGAGUGAGCAGCCAAGAGGGACCGCACACCUAAACGAGCCAGGGCCAUGCCAGAGGAUGAGCCUGUCCAGAAAGGCCCAUCCCUCCCCCGUGUCAUCGAUGGCCAGCCAGCGUAUACGGUGAGACGCCUCCUGAGGGUUCGACCACGGGGCAGGGGUUUCCAGUACCUGGUUGACUGGGAGGGUUGCUGUCACUUCCUGAUCUGUUUCACCUGUCCUUGUGAUUGUCUCUACCCCCUCUAGGUAUCACUUAUUUUCCCUGGUGUAUUUAUCCCUGUGUUUCCUGUCUCUCUGUG
RNAcentral lists this long non-coding RNA (606 nucleotides) under Salmo salar (Atlantic salmon). RNAcentral describes it as "lncRNA (ENSSSAG00000103359.1)". Lineage: Eukaryota; Metazoa; Chordata; Actinopteri; Salmoniformes; Salmonidae. The record is from RNAcentral.